Molecule: ribosomal RNA, 242 nt
Filed under: uncultured Actinomycetales bacterium
Lineage: Bacteria; Bacillati; Actinomycetota; Actinomycetes; Actinomycetales
Description: partial 16S ribosomal RNA
Rfam family: Bacterial small subunit ribosomal RNA
Source: RNAcentral
UACUCGAGUGGCGAACGGGUGAGUAACACGUGGGUGAUCUGCCCUGCACUUCGGGAUAAGCCUGGGAAACUGGGUCUAAUACCGGAUAGGACGAUGGUUUGGAUGCCAUUGUGGAAAGUUUUUCGGUGUGGGAUGAGCUCGCGGCCUACCAGCUUGUUGGUGGGGUAAUGGCCUACCAAGGCGUCGACGGGUAGCCGGCCUGAGAGGGUGUACGGCCACAUUGGGACUGAGAUACGGCCCAG